Molecule: non-coding RNA, 87 nt
Organism: Acanthosepion pharaonis
Lineage: Eukaryota; Metazoa; Mollusca; Cephalopoda; Sepiida; Sepiidae
Source: the annotation of a GenBank genome assembly
GUUUCUCUAUGAUCACCGAAGUUAAGCAACGUCGAGCCUGGGCAGUACAAAGAUGGGUGACCGUUUGGGAAUACCACGUGCUGUAAG